AGAGUUUGAUCAUGGCUCAGAUUGAACGCUGGCGGCAGGCCUAACACAUGCAAGUCGAGCGGCAGCAGCAGGAGCUUGCUCCUGGCUGGCGAGCGGCGGACGGGUGAGUAAUGCCUAGGAAUCUGCCCUUUUGUGGAGGAUAACCCGGGGAAACUCGGGCUAAUACUGCAUAAUCUCUACGGAGCAAAGCGGGGCUCUUCGACCCUCGCGCAGAAGGAUGAGCCUAGGUCUGAUUAGCUUGUUGGUGGGGUAACGGCCUACCAAGGCAACGAUCAGUAGCUGGUCUGAGAGGAUGAUCAGCCACACCGGGACUGAGACACGGCCCGGACUCCUACGGGAGGCAGCAGUGGGGAAUAUUGGACAAUGGGCGAAAGCCUGAUCCAGCCAUGCCGCGUGUGUGAAGAAGGCCUUAGGGUUGUAAAGCACUUUAAGCAGGAAAGAAAAGCGCCGAGUUAAUAGCUCGAGCGUGUUGACGGUACCUGCAGAAUAAGCACCGGCUAACUCCGUGCCAGCAGCCGCGGUAAUACGGAGGGUGCAAGCGUUAAUCGGAAUUACUGGGCGUAAAGCGAGUGCAGGCGGUUGCGUAUGUCGGAUGUGAAAGCCCCGGGCUCAACCUGGGAAUUGCAUUCGAAACUGCGUAACUAGAAUAUGGUAGAGGAAGACGGAAUUCCACGUGUAGCGGUGAAAUGCGUAGAUAUGUGGAGGAACACCAAUGGCGAAGGCAGUCUUCUGGGCCAAUAUUGACGCUGA
Molecule: ribosomal RNA, 750 nt
Filed under: uncultured Salinisphaera sp.
Lineage: Bacteria; Pseudomonadati; Pseudomonadota; Gammaproteobacteria; Salinisphaerales; Salinisphaeraceae
Description: bacterial SSU rRNA
Rfam family: Bacterial small subunit ribosomal RNA
Source: RNAcentral